Dicentrarchus labrax (European seabass) is the source of this 2116-nucleotide long non-coding RNA. RefSeq lists it as uncharacterized. The transcript is spliced from 3 exons. The record is from RefSeq and is a predicted model, not a curated record. Lineage: Eukaryota; Metazoa; Chordata; Actinopteri; Moronidae.
CAGUGAUAAAACACACACACACACACACACACACACACACACACACACACAUACACAUACACACACUAACCUGAAAGGAAGGACAGACUGAGGGAUCUCGAUCAUAAGUUUGAUAAAGUGAGAACCUUCACUGGGAGGUGUCGUGAUCCGAUGCAGAGCUGCUGACUCUGUAUCUAAGGCUGAGCCCAGACAACCUGCCAAAUAAUCACAUUUUGGUCUUUUGUCUCCGUUAUCUCAUUCUUUCAGCGACUAUCCAGACCAAGAGUGAGAGGUGGAGCUUCGAUCCACUGGACCUAAUAGAUUCAACCUAAUGGAAAAAUGACCCUAACUCCCACUUGAUUUAUUAGCUCAGUGUUCAGUUUCCUAAUGACUUUAUGGUCUCAAUUGUUUGUUUCAAGUCUUCCAUACAGCAUGAUGUUCAUUUUGUAAAUUAUGGUACAAUUUAGAGUAGAAUGUACGUAAUAAAACAGGGUAUGUUUUAGGGUGUGGCUACCUUGUGAUUGACAGUCUCGGUGAGUCCGUCCAGCUCAACAACAUAUUUUAGUGUACUGUUUAUUUCUAACAAGUUUUAUCAUUCAUCCUCAUCAAUCAUCAAACAUUGUUUACUGCUGUGGACAAGUUGAAACCAAAGCCAGUAAGUGCACCUCAACAGCAGUACAUCACCGGUUACUGGUUGCAAAGACCCAACAUGGUGACUCAAUUAUUUAAGAAGGAGUAAUAUGCAGACUCUUUUAUUGUUGCUAAUUUUCAAAUCCAGGUUGUGAUAGCAAAAUCAUUAUGUGCAUGUUAGCAAGAUGACAUAGCAUUUAGCUCGCCUAAGUUGUGGCUAAGAACAUCCUCACAGAGCUCCUAUAUGUAGACAACAACAACAACAACAGUGCUGAUGGCCACACAAAUCACUUGACACUUGAGUCAGGAAGACAUGAAGACAUCAUUAACAAAAUAAAACCUACAAAUAGGCUGCAUUAUGCUUCCACUUAGAUACCCAGAGAUACUAGUGGUAUGAAAACAGUAACAUGUUUCCUGCUGUUUCUUUGUCAUGAUAUUUCCUAGAAGUGCGGCAUCAACUUUGUGAACUUUAACAAGAAGUUUCCUUUAAGCUCACUGUCUUGUGGCGGUGCAAAACAUCACAGAUCACACUGGAAAGACACAGCUGAUGUCACUGUGCACGCAUGUGCUCGUGUGUCGGACCACAGACCACAAAAACAGUCAUCAGUCCGUCAGGCUCCUGAAGUUCGACACCACCCUCAUUGGGCUCAUCUCAGGUGAAGAUGAGUCCGCCUACAGGUGGGAGAUUGACCAUGUGGUGACCUGGUGUAGCCAGAACAAUCUGGAGCUUAAUGCUCUUAAGAUGCAAGAAGUGUAGAUGGCUGUGGACUUCAGGAAGAACCCAGCCCCACCCACCCCCAUCAUCCUGUGUGACUCCCCAGUCGACUCCACUUCCUGGGUACCAUAAUAACCCAGGACCUCAAGUGAACCUCACCAAAAAAAGCACAACAGAGGAUGUACUUCCUGUGGCAGCUGAAGAGGUUCAACCUGCCAAAAACGAUGAUGGUACACCGCCAUCAUCGAGUUCAUCCUCACCUCCUCCAUCACUGUCUGGUACGCUGCUGCCACUGCCAAGGACAAGGGCAGACUGCAGCUGAUCAUUCGCUCCACUGAGAAGGUGGUCGGCUGCAAUCUGCCAUCUCUCCAGGAUCUGUACGCCUCCAGGACCCGGAGGCGUGCAGGUAAGACUGUGGCUGACCCCUCCCACCCCGGACACAACCUCUUUUAGUCACUUCCCUCUGGCAGGAGGCUGCGGUCCAUCAGGUCCAAAACAUCCUGCCACAAGAACAGUUUCUUCCCAUCUGCAGCUGGCCUCAUUAACUAAUUGGAAGGUCGUUGAUUCGAUCUCCGGCUCCUCCUCCUUUGACUUUAUCUUUGCACAUUUCUGUACAGCUCUUCACUUGUUUAUAUUCUCUUUUUAUAUUUGUAUAUACUGGCUCCUUUUAUUGCCUCUGUUUUUAUCUUUGUUUAUAUUUUUCUAUGUGUAAUUGUUAUGCACCAACUUACCAAGGCAAAUUCCUUGUAUGUGAAAACCCACUUGGCAAUAAACCUGAUUCUGAACAUAGAA